AGUGAAUGCUGGCGGUAGGCCUAACACAUGCAAGUCGAACGGCAGCACAGUAAGAGCCUGCUCUUACGGGUGGCGAGUGGCGGACGGGUGAGGAAUACAUCGGAAUCUACUUUUUCGUGGGGGAUAACGUAGGGAAACUUACGCUAAUACCGCAUACGACCUACGGGUGAAAGCAGGGGAUCUUCGGACCUUGCGCGAUUGAAUGAGCCGAUGUCGGAUUAGCUAGUUGGCGGGGUAAAGGCCCACCAAGGCGACGAUCCGUAGCUGGUCUGAGAGGAUGAUCAGCCACACUGGAACUGAGACACGGUCCAGACUCCUACGGGAGGCAGCAGUGGGGAAUAUUGGACAAUGGGCGCAAGCCUGAUCCAGCCAUACCGCGUGGGUGAAGAAGGCCUUCGGGUUGUAAAGCCCUUUUGUUGGGAAAGAAAAGCAGCAGGUUAAUACCCCGCUGUUCUGACGGUACCCAAAGAAUAAGCACCGGCUAACUUCGUG
This 492-nucleotide ribosomal RNA is filed under the name uncultured bacterium. Its description in RNAcentral is "partial 16S ribosomal RNA". It matches the Rfam family "Bacterial small subunit ribosomal RNA", at positions 29 to 507 of the family's 1533-position model. The record is from RNAcentral.